Non-coding RNA from Anolis sagrei ordinatus, 549 nucleotides. The record is from RefSeq and is a predicted model, not a curated record. Lineage: Eukaryota; Metazoa; Chordata; Lepidosauria; Squamata; Anolidae.
UGGUAGCAGGAAUGUAUGUAUGAGGAUGGUAGCAAGAAAUAGAGGAAAUAACAUUGAAUCGUAAUCUUUUGUCCUCUUCCAUAGCUGGUUGGAAAUAACCAAAGAGAAAGGUGGCAUGAGAAUGGAAGGGACUGGAAUAGUUUUUAUUGUUCUGCUUGCAAUUCUUCUGCUUCUCAACUAUCUGAAACAGCAGUGGUCACGCUGACAUUUCCCCCCUGGGCCUCUUUCCCUUCCUCUUAUUGGAGGCGUAUGGAGAAUUAAAUUUGGAAUUGGAUGGAAUGUAGAGACACUAAUAAAGUUGGCAGAACAAUAUGGAGACAUUUUUACUGUGUGGGCGGGACAUAUACCAGUUGUAGUUUUGUCUGGCUUUCAAGCUGUGAAAGAAGGACUGAUUGAUCAUUCGGAAGACUUCUCUGAGCGGCCACUGACUCCAUUUUUUACUACUUUAGCAAGAGGAAAGGGUGUUGCAUUUUCAAAUGGUCAUACCUGGAAGCAGCAGAGGCGGUUUGGCCUAGUUACACUGCGAAAACUGGGAGUGGGGAAAAAAAG